CUGGAAUCGCUAGUAAUCGCGGAUCAGAAUGCCGCGGUGAAUACGUUCCCGGGUCUUGUACACACCGCCCGUCACACCAUGGGAGGUCGGAAAUGCCCGAAGUCUGUGACCUAACCGUAAGGAAGGAGCAGCCGAAGGCAGGUCGGAUGACUGGGGUGAAGUCGUAACAAGGUAGC
RNAcentral lists this ribosomal RNA (176 nucleotides) under uncultured bacterium. RNAcentral describes it as "partial 16S ribosomal RNA". It matches the Rfam family "Bacterial small subunit ribosomal RNA", at positions 1326 to 1500 of the family's 1533-position model. The record is from RNAcentral.